This 356-nucleotide small RNA is filed under the name Histoplasma ohiense. RNAcentral describes it as "hypothetical lncRNA". Lineage: Eukaryota; Fungi; Ascomycota; Eurotiomycetes; Onygenales; Ajellomycetaceae. The record is from RNAcentral.
CUCUUCUCACUGCUCUUUCUGUCUCUCUUCAUUUCUUUUCUCUCACAAUCUUCUUCAGUGCUCUCUUCUCUCUCUCUUCUCAGAUUUGUGCUGAGUUAUGUGACUGUAAGAUGUCACAGAGAACACAGUCUUUUCUUCACUCUUCUCUUUAUUUUUCUUUUCAGAACACUUAUUUUUUCUCUUUUCUUUUGUCUAUCUCAUCUGUUUUUUCUCUGCUGUUAGAAGCACAGACAGUUUUCAGAUCAACUGAGAGAGUUAUCUCUCUUCAUUCACUGUAAAGUCUUUCAGACACAGCAGCAGCAGUUUCCCUUGAGAAUCACACUAUAACUCCAUCAUGAAUGAUCAUACAUUGAGUC